AACAUAGGCCUAAGAAUCGCAAAUAAGGCCCACAAAAUGGGUGACCAAAAAAAGUCCCACAAAAUGGUCUUAUUAUUGCUUUGGUGCUGAUCGUUUUUCAUUGCGCGCCCUAAACAACACAAGUUCAAAGAAAUGGCUCCAAUUUACAGCUCUGUACGGAAAAAACCGAACUCAUUUCGUUGUAAGAUGAAACGAAAUGAGGCUCCAAUCCCAACAAGAUUAAAGCUUCAUCGGAGAGAGAGAGAGAGUGUGUGUGUGUGUCCUUCUUAGCUAUGAAGUUAGGUUUGAAGCUUUGUGUAGCACUGUGGCUUCUUCCUUCUUUGUGGUUUCUGCGAAUUUGAGCUCUUCGAAAGUUUCCAUCGGUUCCUCACAUUAUUACUUACACAGGGCAGUUAGGUAAAAGUUCCAUGGGUUUGUGGUUGGAAUUUACUUCAUCAAAUUAUUAUAAAAUCUGAAGCAGGCCUCAUUCCCUCAUUCAAGCCACACACAAUCAUCCAAAAUUGGAAAAGAUCUUGAGUUACAGAUGGCUUGUUCAGACAUGUUUGUACUUGUUCAUCUCAAUGGAAAUAUAAAAGACACUGUAGGUGGUGCAACCUUUCAAAGUUGGGACCUUUUUUUGAUGAAUGUUGAUACUGAUCAUCAAAAGUCUCUGCUUGAGUUGAAGAAUCUGAUAUUGGCGAACAUGGAUGAACUUGGAAGAAAGAAGAUAUCUCAUAUGGCAUAUAAGUUGCAUGGUAUAAUAGGUCCCCAAAUUUUCAGGUGUUCUCUUUGACUUUGGUUCUUCAUUAUUUGUGGUUGUGAAAACAUUGUAUUUUGAAUUUAGUUAUAACUGUUUUAGUUUUAGUUUAGGUCUUGUUGGUUCACUGAUUCUUAGUCCUAAUCCCAAACAACUAUUUAUAAUUUAACAUGUAAGGCCCGUUUGGAAA
Molecule: non-coding RNA, 926 nt
Organism: Arachis ipaensis
Lineage: Eukaryota; Viridiplantae; Streptophyta; Magnoliopsida; Fabales; Fabaceae
Source: RefSeq, a predicted model, not a curated record